UGGGGAAUAUUGGACAAUGGGCGAAAGCCUGAUCCAGCCAUGCCGCGUGUGUGAAGAAGGUCUUCGGAUUGUAAAGCACUUUAAGUUGGGAGGAAGGGCAGUAAGCGAAUACCUUGCUGUUUUGACGUUACCGACAGAAUAAGCACCGGCUAACUCUGUGCCAGCAGCCGCGGUAAUACAGAGGGUGCAAGCGUUAAUCGGAAUUACUGGGCGUAAAGCGCGCGUAGGUGGUUCGUUAAGUUGAAUGUGAAAGCCCCGGGCUCAACCUGGGAACUGCGUCCAAAACUGGCGGGCUAGAGUAGGGCCGAGGGUGGUGGAAUUUCCUGUGUAGCGGUGAAAUGCGUAGAUAUAGGAAGGAACACCAGUAGCGAAGGCGACCACCUGGGCUCAUACCGACACUGAGGUGCGAAAGCGUGGAGAGCAAACAGG
This 429-nucleotide ribosomal RNA is filed under the name Pseudomonadota bacterium. RNAcentral describes it as "Proteobacteria bacterium partial 16S ribosomal RNA". It matches the Rfam family "Bacterial small subunit ribosomal RNA", at positions 355 to 776 of the family's 1533-position model. Lineage: Bacteria; Pseudomonadati; Pseudomonadota. The record is from RNAcentral.